AGUUGUUCCCUAUGGAGGAGGUGAGGUGCUGGCACAGGGUGGAUGCUCCAUCCACGGCCAGGUUGGACACAGCCUUGGUGACAUCGGAUCCUAGAGCCAUAGAAGGGGUUGGGAUGGAAAACCCAGUGGGUGAUCUGCGGGUCCUUUCCAACCCAACCCAUUCUAUGAUUCCAUGACUUUAUGACCAGCACCACUUUCCUUGGAUGCUGGCAGGGGAGCAGAGCUUCCUCUGCUCUCCAAACCUCUCCUCUUCCUCCAUUAGAUGACAGCUGGUUACCCGUGUACGCACUGGAGCGGGGCAAUGUGAAGCGCAUCGAGGCAUUUGUCAACACCCCAACCACGGUGAGCACAGCCAUUGCGAUGCUGAUGGGCGCUGUUGGGUGCUGCCUUCAACCCUAGCACUCUGGUACCCCCGUCCCUUCUCACACUCCCUGUUUGUGCCUCCAUCCUCCCUGGUUUCCAGUCUGAGCAUGAAAAGGUUGCAUUCCUUGAGAGCGUCUGCUCCCUGCUGAGCACAGCCAGGAUCUGCGGCUUGCAACAGGGCCUGGAUGUCUUCUGCCGUAAGAACCAACUCACAGAGACCAUCCAGACACUGCUCCAAGAGCAGCCCACGGACCGGCUGCGCACGGAGGUGCGGCAUCUCGCCAUGGAUGCGAUAGCGGAACUGAGCUCAGUGCAGUCAGGGCUUGCGGACCAAGGGAGAGGCCUCUUAGAGACCUGCUUCAGGAGCGUCUUCUUCCUGCCUCCGAAAGAGGAGUUUUCAAGCCUGGAUACCUACUACUACGUCCA
Pezoporus flaviventris is the source of this 789-nucleotide long non-coding RNA. RefSeq lists it as uncharacterized. The transcript is spliced from 3 exons. The record is from RefSeq and is a predicted model, not a curated record. NCBI's taxonomy places the organism in Eukaryota, Metazoa, Chordata, Aves, Psittaciformes, Psittacidae.